Molecule: ribosomal RNA, 888 nt
Filed under: uncultured archaeon
Lineage: Archaea
Description: bacterial SSU rRNA
Rfam family: Archaeal small subunit ribosomal RNA
Source: RNAcentral
GGGGACAGCGGGGGAACUAAGCCAUGCGAGUCAUUGUAGCAAUACAAGGCAGACGGCUCAGUAACGCGUAGUCAAUCUACCCUAUGGACGGGAAUAACCUCGGGAAACUGAGAAUAAUGCCCGAUAGAACAUUAUACCUGGAACGGUUUAUGUUUCAAAUGAUUUAUUGCCCUAGGAUGGGACUGCGGCCUAUCAGUUUGUUGGUGAGGUAAUGGCCCACCAAGACUAUUACAGGUACGGGCUCUGAGAGGAGUGGCCCGGAGAUGGGUACUGAGACACGGACCCAGGCCCUAUGGGGCGCAGCAGGCGAGAAAACUUUGCAAUGUGCGAAAGCACGACAAGGUUAAUCCGAGUGGUUUCUGCUAAAGGAACCUUUUGUCAGUCCUAGAAACACUGAUGAAUAAGGGGUGGGCAAGUUCUGGUGUCAGCCGCCGCGGUAAAACCAGCACCUCAAGUGGUCAGGAUGAUUAUUGGGCCUAAAGCAUCCGUAGCCGGCUUCGUAAGUUUUCGGUUAAAUCCAUACGCUCAACGUAUGGGCUGCCGGGAAUACUGCAUAACUAGGAAGUGGGAGAGGUAGACGGUACUCGGUAGGAAGGGGUAAAAUCCUUUGAUCUAUUGAUGACCACCUGUGGCGAAGGCGGUCUACCAGAACACGUUCGACGGUGAGGGAUGAAAGCUGGGGGAGCAAACCGGAUUAGAUACCCGGGUAGUCCCAGCUGUAAACUAUGCAAACUCAGUGAUGCAUUGGCUUGUGGCCAAUGCAGUGCUGCAGGGAAGCCGUUAAGCUUGCCGCCUGGGAAGUACGUACGCAAGUAUGAAACUUAAAGGAAUUGGCGGGGGAGCACCACAAGGGGUGAAGCCUGCGGUUCAAUUGGAGUCAACGCCGGG